RNAcentral lists this ribosomal RNA (252 nucleotides) under uncultured bacterium. RNAcentral describes it as "partial 16S ribosomal RNA". It matches the Rfam family "Bacterial small subunit ribosomal RNA", at positions 525 to 776 of the family's 1533-position model. The record is from RNAcentral.
ACGGAGGGUGCAAGCGUUAAUCGGAAUUACUGGGCGUAAAGCGCGCGUAGGCGGUUUGUUAAGCCAGAUGUGAAAGCCCCGGGCUCAACCUGGGAAUUGCAUUUGGAACUGGCAAACUAGAGUGUGUGAGAGGUGAGUGGAAUUUCUAGUGUAGCGGUGAAAUGCGUAGAUAUUAGAAGGAACAUCAGUGGCGAAGGCGACUCACUGGCAUAACACUGACGCUGAGGUGCGAAAGCGUGGGUAGCAAACAGG